AAUGACUUUAGCACUAGGGCCCUUGAUUUCAUUACAGCUGUGCAGACCUCCCAGGUAAUAUUCUCAAAAACAGUUACAUCAAUAUCAUGUAACUAUAUCAUUUUGUUGCCUGUGAAAAAUGUUUGUAUUUAACUGAAGUGAUCUAAAGUUGGUCCUACAGCUUCUGUGAGUGUUCCUAACAAUGUUUUAAAAUAGCCAUUUGUUUCUUCUUACAAAUUGCAGAUUUAGUGGGAUCUCUUGGUGCGAACAGAAGCAUCUUCUACAGCUUUCUUGUCUCCCUGCUAAUUCUUGGCAGAUACAGCUAAUGAUAAUACAAAUAGACUGGUUUUCUUUUGUACAUUCAGAUAUUGGGCACCUGUAGCUUGAGCCCUGGGGGCUAGUUACUUCUGAGCAAUUUUACAUAGUUUGUAUUUAAUGAAUAAGUAAUUUGAUUCUUUUCCUUUUUGACCUCUUCCAAGUGAUAACGGCCUAUCUUUCAGAAAGUCAAGUAUGAGGCUUUCUUUUCCCCAGCAAGUACUGAACUCUAGGCCUGGAAAAGGGCCAGAGCACACAGGGACAAUGUUCCACAGCAACAUUUUGUACCUCAUUUAAAAAAAUAACAAUAACAACAGCUGACUCACAUGUGAAAUAAAAUGUCCUUCUUUUCCUCCUCCCUUUGUUUUACAAAUAUUCAUUUAUUCAUCAUACUUCUUCUAAAAAUGCCUUCACACAUACACAUUCACACUGGAUUUUUCUGCUGAAGAAAUGAUGUGUUAAGAUGUCUUGUAUUAUUUUUAUGAAUUUAGUUUGGUUUACAUCAAGCUACUGUGAAAGAUCCCCAUCCCCCAUCUCAAGGUCUCUAUGGCAAGGGAUUUCUAGGUGACUUAUGGUUUGGAUUACUUCAGUUUGGGGGUGCUUCUCUUUAAAAAAUCUGCAGAAAGCCAUUGCUUCUAUGAUCUCUCAUACUGAGUACCUUAAAGCAGAAGGACUGCUAAGUCACUCUGGAAAAUAAUGGCCCAGAAGACUUCACCCAUCUGUGCAAAUACACCACAAUCCAAUUAAACUGGCAGACUUUGCAAUUAUUUGCAGAUUUCCACAAUCUGGCAGCAGCAAACAGAUACAGCCUGUGUUGCAUAAGCGAGUUGUCGCAAGCCUGUGUGCCCCAUGGCCUGACAGAGCUCCCCAAAAUUCUGGAGGAGGAGCGGGCAGCAUGGUGUGUCCUGCAGAUGGGCACACACCAAAGUGAUGGGCUGCAGUGCCAAACGCAGCCCCUAGCUGAGCUCCUGGCCACAGAAGGGCAGAGUUAAACAUUACAAUUUGCUGCACCAUCCCCUCCACAACUACAAUGUCACAAAGCCAAUUUUUUAAGAGGUUUCCAUCCUUUGCCACAUAUUCUUAUAUCAACUUUAAGCAAGGCCUUUAAACUGAAACUGAAAUAUAAGAAAAGAAAUUAACAAAAAUAAAAGGGUUGUGCAAGGGAAAUAAUCCAGAUGAUUUUGCAGCACUGCUACAAACUGUUGCUCUUUCACCACUGAGGAAAAGAAAGGUCAAAAUGUGAGUGGCCUUUUCUGAGGAAGGAAAAAAGAUGCUAAACUCAGUAGUAACAAGACUACUUCACCAGCCUGUGUCAGCACAGAACUGUUUGUGCUAGCAGAGGAAACGAGAAUUGGAGAAGGGGGAAGGUGAGCUGGAUGAUUUCUGUGGCAGUGCCCCAUCAGAGUGUUUAUAGGGGAUGGGAUUCCCUCUGCCAGACAAAUUGAGAUACUCAAAGGCUCAAAAGUACUUUUAGUACUUUGAGUACUCAAAGAUACUUUCAAUUCAAAGAAGCAGUGUGUUUGUCCCUAACAGCUGAUUUGAAAUUAAUCACGUUAGUCCAAGCUUCAGGCUAACUUCUUAAAAUCUAGGCCUAGACUCUUGUAAAAAGCCCACCAAAACAAAAGUUCUUCAAAGUCACUUUUUUUCCACCAUCACCAUUUCCAGCUGCACAUUUUCACCUUGGUGUCACCUUUUCCCUCAGUGGAGUGGAUGCUCCUCUUGUGCAAGGUGCCUCAGGUUAAAUUAGUAAUAAAGGGUGGGGCUUUGUUUAAUAGUCAGUGUAGCUCCCAGGUCUGGUUCACAGCACAACCCCACCAGCAGCCGUGCUGGCUGGACCCAAAGGUCAGAAAAUGGUAGACACUGAAUCUUGGCCCCAGGUGCUCAGUCGUCGAGGGAAUUCCCAGUCCUCAGCUGGUCCCUGCCAGCUGGUAUUUCCAUACAACAUGAGAGGGAGAUCCCCCAAAGGAAAUGAGACAUUUUUGCAAGCUGUGAGGUCACUGGAUCCCAGUGCCCCCCACAUGUGAGGAGCUGAAGCAGCACUUUGAGCAAGGAUCCAAGUAGGUGAAUAGUAGGAAAGGCUGAGGUGGGAAGCUCUGGCCUGAGACCUGCUGCUCUCAAGACCUGCUCUAGUCACCACCCAUGGCUGCUGCAGGCUCUUCUGGAAACCAUGCUCUGCACAAGCCCCAAAACCCACAGGAGGAAGGGAUGAGGGAAGUGAAAUCUCUUUAAACUGUGGAACCCAGCCUGUGUGGGAGACCCAUCUCAGUUGGAUGAGUCUGCAACAUUUCAGCAGCCUUUUCUCUCAAGAUCUGCAGCCAUGAAGAUGCUCAAACUCUUCUUUUCCAGAAAUGAGGAAUCAAUCCCUUCAAAUCAUGGAUGUGUCCUCUCCCACAGCACAGAGCUCAACCAGCAGCUCCCAUUUCAUAUCCCACCUACACCCCAACGAACCAGCUCUCCCAGAUUAUCCAGCCUGGGUCUUCCUGCUUGUCUUUUGGGGUUGUUUCAAGUUCAGGGUCUUUUUAAAAUGAAUAUAUGUUAUUAAUUCUCUCUGUCUAUUUAUUUUGUUCUGAUAUUUAUUUAUGUAAUGCAAAAUGAAACUAUUUCACUAGAGGAGAGCUAACAGGCUCAAAAAAAAAAAAAAAAGCAGUUCAAUAGUCUUCUCUGAACAUUCAUUUUAAAAUGGAUUCAAGUAGCAUGAUGUUCUAGCCAUGUGGUGUAUGCACUGUCAUAGAAAUAAGGGAGAAAAUGGAUGAAAAAACAGCAAAGUUAAAAGAAAUAGUCCCAGAGCAUUGUUCUCUACUUGGAUUACACAGCUCAGGCUUUUAAUCUUAAGGCUGGGAUUUGUCUCCAUUAUUGCUGAUGCAUCCCCCUUACUCCUUAUUCCUAUAGAGUACCUUCUUGCCAGCUCCUGCAUCACUUUCUGGGAAACUGAACUCUUCUGGCAAGCAGAUCUCCUAGUUUGUCAGCUUUCAAGUCCGUAGAGGUGAAAUAGCAUUGGCUCAUAAUUUCUGGGGCAGUUUGCAGUGGUCUAUGAAAAUCCCAGCUAUCACAGAGCACAGGGUUUGAGUCACCUCAUUUUAGUGGAGAAAAUGGGAUUCCUCAUCUGAACUACUCAUUUUCCCACCGGAUGGAACACCAUGAGAAGACAAGUCCUCCCUCUUCUCUGGAACACCAGCUGGGAUAGGUGGAUCACCCUCUGGAUGUGCCUGUGUCUGUUUGUGGGCUUCGGAGGGUACCUGCACAUCGAGUUCAGACUGGAUGUGAGCUUCUAGUCAGCCUGAUUUAAAGGAGUCUUGCCCAUAGUGCUGGCAUUCUCCCUGAGGUUUCCAUUUGCAGCAGCACUGUAACAGAUGCUGAGAAUACAUUAAAUGCUUUCCUAAUGUCACAUUCCUCUGUCUGCAAUCAUGGUAAUUGCCUCAGUGGAGUUUUGCAAUUGCAAACAAGCAGGAAGCCAUCUGCAAAGGAAUCUGUCUAUUAAGAUGUGGCCCCUACUCUGGAAGUGCUCAAAAAGCCCCAGCACAUUUUUUGGGCUUAAGAUAGAAAAUUAAAAAUAAAAAAAUUUAAAAAAAAAAAAAAA
Long non-coding RNA from Taeniopygia guttata (zebra finch), 3871 nucleotides. NCBI's taxonomy places the organism in Eukaryota, Metazoa, Chordata, Aves, Passeriformes, Estrildidae. The record is from Ensembl.